This 349-nucleotide ribosomal RNA is filed under the name Corticarina sp. 1 NPL-2007. Its description in RNAcentral is "partial 12S ribosomal RNA". The record is from RNAcentral. Lineage: Eukaryota; Metazoa; Arthropoda; Insecta; Coleoptera; Latridiidae.
UAUAAAUGUAAUAUUUUACCAAAUUAUUAAUAGUUAUGUUCUUUAAAAUUAAAGAUUUUGGCGGUAUUUUAGUCUUUUCAGAGGAACCUGUUCUGUAAUUGAUAAUCCACGAUUAAUUUUACUUAUUUUAAUUAAUUUACAUAUCGUCGUAGUUGAAUAUUUUAAAAGAAUUUUAAUAUUCAAAAAUUUAAAAGAAAAAAUAAAUCAGAUCAAGGUGUAGUUUAUAAAUAAGGAGAAAUGGGUUACAAUAAAAAAAUUUAUAUGGUAAUAUUAUUUAAAAAUGAUAUUUAAAGUGGAUUUGAAAGUAAUUUAGAUAAGUUAAUCUAAAUGAUUUAGCUCUAAAUUAUGC